GAUGAACGCUGGCGGCGUGCCUAAUACAUGCAAGUCGAGCGAACGGACGAGAAGCUUGCUUUUCUGAUGUUAGCGGCGGACGGGUGAGUAACACGUGGAUAACCUACCUAUAAGACUGGGAUAACUUCGGGAAACCGGAGCUAAUACCGGAUAAUAUUUUGAACCGCAUGGUUCAAAAGUGAAAGACGGUCUUGCUGUCACUUAUAGAUGUAUCCGCGCUGCAUUAGCUAGUUGGUAAGGUAACGGCUUACCAAGGCAACGAUGCAUAGCCGACCUGAGAGGGUGAUCGCCCACACUGGAACUGAGAAACGGUCCAGACUCCUACGGAAGGCAGCAGUAGGGAAUCUUCCGCAAUGGGCGAAAGCCUGACGGAGCAACGCCGCGUGAGUGAUGAAGGUCUUCGGAUCGUAAAACUCUGUUAUUAGGGAAGAACAUAUGUGUAAGUAACUGUGCACAUCUUGACGGUACCUAAUCAGAAAGCCACGGCUAACUACGUG
RNAcentral lists this ribosomal RNA (497 nucleotides) under uncultured bacterium. Its description in RNAcentral is "partial 16S ribosomal RNA". It matches the Rfam family "Bacterial small subunit ribosomal RNA", at positions 28 to 507 of the family's 1533-position model. The record is from RNAcentral.